AGAGUUUGAUCGUGGCUCAGAACGAACGCUGGCGGCAUGCCUAACACAUGCAAGUCGAACGAGACCUUCGGGUCUAGUGGCGCACGGGUGCGUAACGCGUGGGAAUCUGCCCUUGGGUUCGGAAUAACUCGCCGAAAGGCGUGCUAAUACCGGAUGAUGUCGUAAGACCAAAGAUUUAUCGCCCAGGGAUGAGCCCGCGUAAGAUUAGGUAGUUGGUGAGGUAAAGGCUCACCAAGCCGACGAUCUUUAGCUGGUCUGAGAGGAUGAUCAGCCACACUGGGACUGAGACACGGCCCAGACUCCUACGGGAGGCAGCAGUGGGGAAUAUUGGACAAUGGGCGAAAGCCUGAUCCAGCAAUGCCGCGUGAGUGAUGAGGGCCUUAGGGUUGUAAAGCUCUUUUACCCGGGAUGAUAAUGACAGUACCGGAGAAUA
This 433-nucleotide ribosomal RNA is filed under the name uncultured organism. RNAcentral's name for it is "bacterial SSU rRNA". It matches the Rfam family "Bacterial small subunit ribosomal RNA", at positions 8 to 487 of the family's 1533-position model. The record is from RNAcentral.